RNAcentral lists this ribosomal RNA (253 nucleotides) under uncultured bacterium. Its description in RNAcentral is "partial 16S ribosomal RNA". It matches the Rfam family "Bacterial small subunit ribosomal RNA", at positions 524 to 776 of the family's 1533-position model. The record is from RNAcentral.
UACAGAGGUCCCAAGCAUGGUUCGGAUUCACUGGGCGUAAAGGGUGCGUAGGCGGUCGGGUAAGUCUGAUGUGAAAUCCCCAGGCUUAACCUGGGAACUGCAUUCGAGACUGCAUUGCUAGAGUAUGGGAGAGGGAAGUGGAAUUUCCGGUGUAGCGGUGAAAUGCGUAGAUAUCGGAAGGAACAUCAGUGGCGAAAGCGACUUCCUGGACCAAUACUGACGCUCAUGUGCGAAAGCGUGGGGAGCAAACAGG